ACUUCGAUAGCUUAGUUGGUUAGAGCGUUGGACUGAAUAUCCAAAGAUAUUGGUUCGAAUCCGAUUCGAAGUG
Molecule: non-coding RNA, 73 nt
Organism: Chrysoperla carnea
Lineage: Eukaryota; Metazoa; Arthropoda; Insecta; Neuroptera; Chrysopidae
Source: the annotation of a RefSeq genome assembly